AACGAACGCUGGCGGCAGGCUUAACACAUGCAAGUCGAACGCACCUUUCGGGGUGAGUGGCAGACGGGUGAGUAACGCGUGGGAAUCUACCCUUCUCUACGGGAUAGCUCCGGGAAACUGGAAUUAAUACCGUAUACGUCCUGAGGGAGAAAGAUUUAUCGGGGAAGGAUGAGCCCGCGUUGGAUUAGCUAGUUGGUGGGGUAAAGGCCUACCAAGGCGACGAUCCAUAGCUGGUCUAAGAGGAUGAUCAGCCACAUUGGGACUGAGACACGGCCCAAAAUCCUACGGGAGGCAGCAGUGGGGAAUAUUGGACAAUGGGCGCAAGCCUGAUCCAGCCAUGCCGCGUGAGUGAUGAAGGCCCUAGGGUUGUAAAGCUCUUUCAGUGGGGACGAUAAUGACGGUACCCACAGAAGAAGCCCCGGCUAACUUCGUG
RNAcentral lists this ribosomal RNA (433 nucleotides) under uncultured bacterium. RNAcentral describes it as "partial 16S ribosomal RNA". It matches the Rfam family "Bacterial small subunit ribosomal RNA", at positions 29 to 507 of the family's 1533-position model. The record is from RNAcentral.